CCAUCGGUGGUUCAGUGGUAGAAUGCUCGCCUGCCACGCGGGCGGCCCGGGUUCGAUUCCCGGCCGGCUGAUGCA
Molecule: transfer RNA, 75 nt
Filed under: Cordylochernes scorpioides
Lineage: Eukaryota; Metazoa; Arthropoda; Arachnida; Pseudoscorpiones; Chernetidae
Description: tRNA-Gly
Rfam family: tRNA
About the family: Transfer RNA (tRNA) molecules are approximately 80 nucleotides in length.
Source: RNAcentral